AAACAAGUGGGGGAAGGGAGACUGAAAGUGCCUGUUACACCCAGUCUCGCUCCCAUAAUUACCCAAACUGCCUGCAUCCCCGCCGUAGGACAGGGUUUUCUACGGGACAAGAAAGGAAAACCAGGGAGGUGAGAGCCAGGAAAUCGGGAGAGGUGCCUUUCCCGGCAUGCUCUGCAGCACACCGAGGGGCGCCAGACAUAUCCCGGCGUGCAUCGGGGAGCGCCCAAGGGCGAUGGUUCCCGGCUCCUGGAGGGGCACGCGAAGUUAAAGCGGUAGGUGUGACCUUACUUAGUUUUGAGUCCCUGCUUUCUCGUUUCCACUUUAGGAAUAUAAUCUCAUGACGGCUGAAAAGGAGGUCUUCUAACUACCCUCCCUUUCCGCGUGCGAACGACUUUCGGCGCCGCUUCGAGAACGGUGCCAGGUGAUUAGCGGUUAGGGGCGGGCCCGAGCUGAUCACGUGAUCAAACCUGGCCGCCAAUGAUUAGCCGGGUGUUCCAGCAGCGCGAGGAUUCCCGGACCCGUGUGCGGAGCGGCUCGUGGGCCCGCUGCGGUCGGCCCUGGCAGUACAUGAACAUAUGGAUCAUUAGCUGAGAUUUUUAGGAUUUUUUUAAUGGAGGACAAUCUUGUUCAGAACUCAUCUUAGAAGUCAGAGUCUCAGGGAAGUUAGAGUUCUGCUGUUCAGACCUCCAUCAUUGUAUUUAUUUGACUAUAUUAAAA
Bos taurus (domestic cattle) is the source of this 717-nucleotide long non-coding RNA. The record is from Ensembl. Lineage: Eukaryota; Metazoa; Chordata; Mammalia; Artiodactyla; Bovidae.